Molecule: long non-coding RNA, 314 nt
Organism: Oncorhynchus keta (chum salmon)
Lineage: Eukaryota; Metazoa; Chordata; Actinopteri; Salmoniformes; Salmonidae
Exons: 3
Source: RefSeq, a predicted model, not a curated record
GCAGCCACAAAGACCAGGGAGGUUUUCCAAUGCCUCGCAAAGACCAGGGAGGUUUUCCAAUGCCUCGCAAAGACCAGGGAGGUUUUCCAAUGCCUCGCAAAGACCAGGGAGGUUUUCCAAUGCCUCGCAAAGACCAGGGAGGUUUUCCAAUGCCUCGCAAAGACCAGGGAGGUUUUCCAAUGCCUCGCAAAGACCAGGGAGGUUUUCCAAUGCCUCGCAAAGACCAGGGAGGUUUUCCAAUGCCUCGCAAAGACCAGGGAGGUUUUCCAAUGCCUCGCAAAGACCAGGGAGGUUUUCCAAUGCCUCGCAAAGAC